RNAcentral lists this ribosomal RNA (430 nucleotides) under Salmonella enterica subsp. enterica serovar Enteritidis. Its description in RNAcentral is "partial 23S ribosomal RNA". It matches the Rfam family "Bacterial large subunit ribosomal RNA", at positions 161 to 584 of the family's 2925-position model. Lineage: Bacteria; Pseudomonadati; Pseudomonadota; Gammaproteobacteria; Enterobacterales; Enterobacteriaceae. The record is from RNAcentral. RNAcentral also lists the same sequence under 1 other name.
AAUCCAUAGGUUAAUGAGGCGAACCGGGGGAACUGAAACAUCUAAGUACCCCGAGGAAAAGAAAUCAACCGAGAUUCCCCCAGUAGCGGCGAGCGAACGGGGAGGAGCCCAGAGCCUGAAUCAGCAUGUGUGUUAGUGGAAGCGUCUGGAAAGGCGCGCGAUACAGGGUGACAGCCCCGUACACAAAAGCGCAUGUGCUGUGAGCUCGAUGAGUAGGGCGGGACACGUGGUAUCCUGUCUGAAUAUGGGGGGACCAUCCUCCAAGGCUAAAUACUCCUGACUGACCGAUAGUGAACCAGUACCGUGAGGGAAAGGCGAAAAGAACCCCGGCGAGGGGAGUGAAAAAGAACCUGAAACCGUGUACGUACAAGCAGUGGGAGCCCCACCACCAAAGCAUUUGCUGUACCGCGUUGACGGAGCGAAGCGACGU